UACGUAGGGUGCAGGCGUUAAUCGGAAUUACUGGGCGUAAAGCGUACGCAGGCGGUUUGCUAAGACAGGUGUGAAAUCCCCGGGCUUAACUUGGGAACUGCGCUUGUUACUGGCAAGCUAGAGUGUGGCAGAGGGGGGUAGAAUUCCAGGUGUAGCAGUGAAAUGCGUAGAUAUCUGGAGGAACACCGGUGGCGAAGGCGGCGACCUGGGUAGAUACUGACGCUGAGGUGCGAAAGCGUGGGGAGCAAACAGG
RNAcentral lists this ribosomal RNA (253 nucleotides) under uncultured bacterium. Its description in RNAcentral is "partial 16S ribosomal RNA". It matches the Rfam family "Bacterial small subunit ribosomal RNA", at positions 524 to 776 of the family's 1533-position model. The record is from RNAcentral.